UCUGCUGCUUUCUUGAAGUCUCAUUAGUAUGAUAUACUCACAAGGAUUACCACCAUACAUAUAGGUUUUACAGGUAAAUAGUAUAUGAUAAGCUAUAUAUGUAUAGGAAGGAGAAGCAGAUUCAAGCAGUUAUUAUUAAGGGAAGACACUGAUCCUCAACUAAUAAUUCCUACAGGAACAUGUAUUACUUUGCAUCUAAGUUCUUUAUGCUUUGGUAUUUCUUUUGUAGCUCCGUGCAAGUAUUUGUUCUGUCAUUAAAAGUUAAAACCCUUCAUUCUAAACUCCCUCUUUUUUUUCUCAGGAGAGAUGAACCGGGAUGACAAAGGAUUUGCAGACCCAGAGCGAAUUCAGAAGCUCGUGAAAAACUAUUCUCAGUUUGUUUUGUUCCCUAUAUACACGUAGCAGGUUGAAUGUGUUGAUGAUUCAGCUGUGCUAAAAAAAUAGAUGAACAGGAUGGCCAAACUGAGGUAUACCUUCUUCUCUUAUCAUGUUCUGAUAGUUAUAUUGAUAAGCAUCAGAAAAAUAUAUUGAUCCGAAUCAGGGAAUAGCUAGAUGUUCAAGGAUCGUUGGCUUGAAGGUCACGACUUUUUUAACGUGUAAUCGAGAAAAAAGAAGACAAAGAAGAUCGUUGAGCAAUACUGGGAGUGGGAGCUUACUAAUGAGGCGCUACCAAGUUGGGUAAGGAUUUAAGACUCCUCUAUGUAUCUCAUGUGCGCUCAGAAUCAAAAUUAUGGAAUCAAUUAUAGAGCUUAUUUCUAUUUGUUGCAGCUUCGGGACUCUAAGGAUGUGACAACAGUGGAGUACAAUGAGUUUUACAGAAUAACUUUAAACACGUAUAUGGAACCGUUAACAUCACCCCACUUCACAACAGAGGUACGUUGGAGGGAAGAGAUAUGUUGGAAUAGUAUAUAUCCAUGAAACAAUCCAAGCAGGUUAUGAUUUGUAUCUGUUAAAAGGUGGUGACACCAUGUUGAUCCACUAAUGAUAUAUUGUUCUUAAACUGUUACUGAUAAUUUUCUUAUUGUA
Molecule: long non-coding RNA, 1026 nt
Organism: Brassica napus (rape)
Lineage: Eukaryota; Viridiplantae; Streptophyta; Magnoliopsida; Brassicales; Brassicaceae
Exons: 2
Source: RefSeq, a predicted model, not a curated record